UGCGAAGGGGGCGAGCGUUGUUCGGAUUUACUGGGCGUAAAGGGCGCGUGGACGGUCAGCACAAGUCAGUUGUGAAAUCUCCGGGCUUAACUCGGAAAGGUCAACUGAUACUGUGCGACUAGAGUGCAGAAGGGGCAACUGGAAUUCUCGGUGUAGCGGUGAAAUGCGUAGAUAUCGAGAGGAACACCUGCGGCGAAGGCGGGUUGCUGGGCUGACACUGACGCUGAUGCGCGAAAGCCAGGGGAGCGAACGGG
RNAcentral lists this ribosomal RNA (254 nucleotides) under uncultured bacterium. RNAcentral's name for it is "partial 16S ribosomal RNA". It matches the Rfam family "Bacterial small subunit ribosomal RNA", at positions 524 to 776 of the family's 1533-position model. The record is from RNAcentral.